AGUCGCCGCGGGAAUACGUAGGUCCCGAGCGUUGUCCGGAUUUACUGGGCGUAAAGCGAGCGCAGGCGGUUAGAUAAGUCUGAAGUUAAAGGCUGUGGCUUAACCAUAGUACGCUUUGGAAACUGUUUAACUUGAGUGCAAGAGGGGAGAGUGGAAUUCCAUGUGUAGCGGUGAAAUGCGUAGAUAUAUGGAGGAACACCGGUAGCGAAAGCGGCUCUCUGGCUUGUAACUGACGCUGAGGCUCGAAAGCGUGGGGAGCAAACAGGAUUAGAUACCCGAGUAGUCCCUGUCUCUUAUACAC
This 301-nucleotide ribosomal RNA is filed under the name uncultured bacterium. RNAcentral describes it as "partial 16S ribosomal RNA". It matches the Rfam family "Bacterial small subunit ribosomal RNA", at positions 510 to 809 of the family's 1533-position model. The record is from RNAcentral.